GGGUGAUUAGCUCAGCUGGUAGAGCUGCUGACUCUUAAUCAGCCGGUCGUAGGUUCGAAUCCUACAUCACCCA
Molecule: transfer RNA, 73 nt
Filed under: Phycisphaerae bacterium
Lineage: Bacteria; Pseudomonadati; Planctomycetota; Phycisphaerae
Also listed under: 3 other names
Description: tRNA-Lys
Rfam family: tRNA
About the family: Transfer RNA (tRNA) molecules are approximately 80 nucleotides in length.
Source: RNAcentral